Molecule: ribosomal RNA, 253 nt
Filed under: uncultured bacterium
Lineage: Bacteria
Description: partial 16S ribosomal RNA
Rfam family: Bacterial small subunit ribosomal RNA
Source: RNAcentral
UACGUAGGGCGCAAGCGUUGUCCGGAAUUAUUGGGCGUAAAGAGCUCGUAGGCGGUUUGUCGCGUCUGCUGUGAAAUCCCGAGGCUCAACCUCGGGCUUGCAGUGGGUACGGGCAGACUAGAGUGCGGUAGGGGAGACUGGAAUUCCUGGUGUAGCGGUGGAAUGCGCAGAUAUCAGGAGGAACACCAAUGGCGAAGGCAGCACUCUGGGACGUGACUGACGCUGAGACGCGAAAGCGUGGGGAGCAAACAGG